CCACAUUCCUGACUGCUCCAACAAGAGGCGAGCCCUGCUCCUGGCAGACCUGAUCCUCUGCAUUGCAUUGUGCCAAGCAAAGUCCAGCAGCGGCAGCACAUCGGAGCUGGUGCAGAACGGGGCCAAACCAGUGUUGGUAAGGGGCCCCCUUUGCAGGCUGCUGGGUUAGCUGGAAAAUUCCUGAGCCCAGACCUCCUGCUUUUCAAGCCUGAAAAUACAGUGAAAAUGAAUACAGCCACUAUUAAUGAUUACUUUUCAAAGGCCAAACUCCUACCAAGGUCGUCUAAGAACGCUCAGAGGCAGCAGCUGAAGUUUUUCACAAUUCAAGGACAGCAGAGACAAGUACAAAACUAACUGAGCAGAGGGAGCCAGGCAGCACACAGGAGGCAGACCUCACCGAUGUAGGGAGAAUCCUUGACAAUACAGGCAGCUAACAGGAACGCACAGAGCUGUGCUACCCGUGGAAAGAUCCAGCCUCACACAAAAAAAUGAUCCCUGAGCCACCACAAUGCCUGUUGCACUCUCCUGGCAUCAGCAGGCAGAUGAAGCAUGUAAAGGCAG
Gallus gallus (chicken) is the source of this 561-nucleotide long non-coding RNA. The record is from Ensembl. NCBI's taxonomy places the organism in Eukaryota, Metazoa, Chordata, Aves, Galliformes, Phasianidae.